Taeniopygia guttata (zebra finch) is the source of this 720-nucleotide long non-coding RNA. RefSeq lists it as uncharacterized. NCBI's taxonomy places the organism in Eukaryota, Metazoa, Chordata, Aves, Passeriformes, Estrildidae. The record is from RefSeq and is a predicted model, not a curated record.
UGCGUUGGAAGGGGACUUAAAUAGCAUCUAAUGCAAAGCCCUGGCCCAGCUGUAACUGCCCUGGCAGUGCCCAAGGCCAGGUUGGACAUGGAGGCCUGGAGCAGCCUGGGACAGUGGAAGGUGCCCCUGCCCAUGGCGGGGCGUGGCACUUGGGUGGGUUUUGAGCCCAUCCCAGGCACGGGCACGGCGCAGUGCCCAAACCCAAGAUGGCCGCUCCUCGGCCUUAGUGCCGUACUCAAAGAUGGCAGCCGCCGCGUCAAGCGCUGCGGCCUGCGCUCCUCCUCCCUCCCCUUUCCCCGGUGCGGGGACCACCGGAACAGCGGCAGGAGCAGGGACGGAACCGCCGCUUCCCGGAGGAGAAGGCGAAAAUCUCGGGAGAGCCAUGAAACCAACGCAGCGCGGCAGCGUCUCUUGCCUCAGAGAAGCCCCACAGAGCCCAGCAGGAGCAGAUUCCCACCAGGAGGAGCCGGGAAUUCCUCACCAGCUGGAAGUUCUGGAGUUCCACCAAGGUCUUCUUGUCCACCAGCACGUGGCCCUUGAGCUUGCAGUGGAACGCCUCCAGCAGCCGCCGCUGGGACCCAGCCUCGGCCAGGGCCAGAGGCAGCAGGGGCAGCGGGCUGGGCUGGGCUGGGAGGGCCAGGGAGGCCCGGUGCUCAAUGGUUUCUGAGGGAAAAAGGGAAUAAAAUGAAAUAAAAUUGAAUACUAUGGCAUUAAAUGAAA